Molecule: long non-coding RNA, 203 nt
Filed under: Prunus persica (peach)
Lineage: Eukaryota; Viridiplantae; Streptophyta; Magnoliopsida; Rosales; Rosaceae
Description: long non-coding RNA (PPER_LNC000905)
Source: RNAcentral
AUUUAAACAAUCGAUAAUUUUUUAUUAUUAAUUGUUAGGUCAGUCUCACGGAAAAAAAAAAAAAAAAAAAGCCAUGGGGCUAGUGAGAUUCAAAUUUUUUAAAACUUUCUAGGUUUUAUAAUAGUUUCCUUUAAUUUUUAAUUAUAUACUAGCCUCUUGUCACAUGCUCACGCAUAUGCCAAUUGGUUUUCUUUUUCUUUUUU